This 260-nucleotide long non-coding RNA is filed under the name Eucalyptus grandis. Its description in RNAcentral is "long non-coding RNA (EGRA_LNC006004)". Lineage: Eukaryota; Viridiplantae; Streptophyta; Magnoliopsida; Myrtales; Myrtaceae. The record is from RNAcentral.
CCAAAACUCACAGAAUAGGGGAAUCCCAAUGUUAGUUCCCGAGUCUCCAAAACCCAGGGUCCAUUAAAGCCAUGCUCGGGUCCAUCGAGGCCAAGACUACAUCUCUAACGCUUGAGCACGAGUCCAUCGAAAGCAAACCUAGGUCCAUUAAGGCUAGGCUCAAGACCCCAAUUCUCGAGCCUAAAUCCAAGCCCUAGGGGCCUAAGCCUGGUUUCAUCGAGGUUGGGCCUCAGCCCCUUGAUGCUCAUGCACUAUGCCCC